This 505-nucleotide ribosomal RNA is filed under the name uncultured bacterium. RNAcentral describes it as "partial 16S ribosomal RNA". It matches the Rfam family "Bacterial small subunit ribosomal RNA", at positions 28 to 507 of the family's 1533-position model. The record is from RNAcentral.
GACGAACGCUGGCGGCGUGCCUAAUACAUGCAAGUCGAACGCACAGAUUAUACCGUAGCUUGCUACACCAUAGACGGUGAGGUGUGAACGGGUGAGUAACGCGUAGGUAACCUGCCUGGGAUCGGGGCAUAACUAUUGGGAACGAUAGCUAAUAUCGCUUAAUAUUGAUUAUUGCAUGAUAAUUGAUUGAAAUAUGCUAUUUCAUCACUACCAGAUGGACCUGCUGUGUAUUAGCUAGUAGGUGAGGUAACGGCCCACCUAGUCCACGGUACAUAGCCGACCUGGAAGGGGGGUCGGCCCAACUGGGACUGGAACCAGGCCCCGCAUCCUACGGGAGGGAGCAGUAAGGAAUCUUUGCGAAAGGACGAAAGUCUGAACGAGGCAAGCCGGGUGAGUGAAGGAGGUUUUCGGGUCGUAAAGACCUGUUGUAAGAGAAGAACGGAAGGGAGAGUGAAAAGUUCACACUGUGACGGUAUCUAACCAGAAAGCGACGGCUAACUACGUG